AAAUAUACCAAGGGACAAAAGAAGAGAUGGAACAUAUAUAAAGAUGAAUUUUAUAUAAAAUUCAUCUUUAUAUAUGUUCCAUCUCUUCUUUUGUCCCUU
RNAcentral lists this small RNA (99 nucleotides) under Marmota monax (woodchuck). Lineage: Eukaryota; Metazoa; Chordata; Mammalia; Rodentia; Sciuridae. The record is from RNAcentral.